CUCUUCCACCCUGAAUAUGCCCGAUCUUGUCUGAUCUCAGAAGCCAAGUAGCGUUGGACCUAGUUAGUACUUGGAUAAGAGA
Molecule: ribosomal RNA, 82 nt
Filed under: Jaculus jaculus (lesser Egyptian jerboa)
Lineage: Eukaryota; Metazoa; Chordata; Mammalia; Rodentia; Dipodidae
Source: RNAcentral